ACGGUGGAAAAAUUUGGCUGCUUGCAACCACUUGAAAAAAUGCUAAAAUAG
Molecule: non-coding RNA, 51 nt
Filed under: bovine gut metagenome
Also listed under: 1 other name
Source: RNAcentral